UCCCUUCAAUGUCCCUCAAAGUCUGCAGAAUCUCACCAUUUGUGUUUGCUUAGCCAUCCUACGAAGGUGCUCUGUUCAACUUGGCCUCUGUGUGACGAACAUCGAACCAAUGAUGCAUUUGUAUCUCCUUUGGCUGGAUACAAAGUUCCAUAUUCCGGGAAGAAGGGCUUAAAUGAUGCAUGUGGAUAAUUGAAGGGCCGCAUUAAUAGGUAACCUGUAAUUAUUGUAUUUUUAGGCAAGAUAGGAUAUGUAUUCUUAGUGCUCACGGAUUGCUGGUACCACAUGGAUCAUAUUUGUUUCUAAUACAAUAUUUUCUUGUGUAGGCCUUUUCUAUUUGGUCAUUUGAUUGCACCAAAGAUUUAUUAUUUUCCACUGCUUAAGGGCACAACCAAUGAGGCAAUUUCUGGAGGUAAAGAAUUUCGUGUGUUUUUCAUGUAGUGAGUGCUUUGCUCUAUUUUCUUCCUUCACAUUGGUUGAAACUUCUCUACUGCUGAGAAACUUAUUGCUUAAUGGCCGAAGGAAGAAUCUCUAUUAUUAUGUAUACUAAAAUAAACUCAUGGGAAUGUUAAGUAAUGUCCAUGCUAUUUGACAAUCACCUUUGAACUUAAAU
Molecule: long non-coding RNA, 610 nt
Filed under: Triticum aestivum (bread wheat)
Lineage: Eukaryota; Viridiplantae; Streptophyta; Magnoliopsida; Poales; Poaceae
Description: long non-coding RNA (TAES_LNC028012)
Source: RNAcentral